GGCGUUAAGUUGCAGGGUAUAGACCCGAAACCCGGUGAUCUAGCCAUGGGCAGGUUGAAGGUUGGGUAACACUAACUGGAGGACCGAACCGACUAAUGUUGAAAAAUUAGCGGAUGACUUGUGGCUGGGGGUGAAAGGCCAAUCAAACCGGGAGAUAGCUGGUUCUCCCCGAAAGCUAUUUAGGUAGCGCCUCGUGAAUUCAUCUCCGGGGGUAGAGCACUGUUUCGGCAAGGGGGUCAUCCCGACUUACCAACCCGAUGCAAACUGCGAAUACCGGAGAAUGUUAUCACGGGAGACACACGGCGGGUGCUAACGUCCGUCGUGAAGAGGGAAACAACCCAGACCGCCAGCUAAGGUCCCAAAGUCAUGGUUAAGUGGGAAACGAUGUGGGAAGGCCCAGACAGCCAGGAUGUUGGCUUAGAAGCAGCCAUCAUUUAAAGAAAGCGUAAUAGCUCACUGGUCGAGUCGGCCUGCGCGGAAGAUGUAACGGGGCUAAACCAUGCACCGAAGCUGCGGCAGCGACGCUGAUGCGUUGUUGGGUAGGGGAGCGUUCUGUAAGCCUGCGAAGGUGUGCUGUGAGGCAUGCUGGAGGUAUCAGAAGUGCGAAUGCUGACAUAAGUAACGAUAAAGCGGGUGAAAAGCCCGCUCGCCGGAAGACCAAGGGUUCCUGUCCAACGUUAAUCGGGGCAGGGUGAGUCGACCCCUAAGGCGAGGCCGAAAGGCGUAGUCGAUGGGAAACAGGUUAAUAUUCCUGUACUUGGUGUUACUGCGAAGGGGGGACGGAGAAGGCUAUGUUGGCCGGGCGACGGUUGUCCCGGUUUAAGCGUGUAGGCUGGUUUUCCAGGCAAAUCCGGAAAAUCAAGGCUGAGGCGUGAUGACGAGGCACUACGGUGCUGAAGCAACAAAUGCCCUGCUUCCAGGAAAAGCCUCUAAGCAUCAGGUAACAUCAAAUCGUACCCCAAACCGACACAGGUGGUCAGGUAGAGAAUACCAAGGCGCUUGAGAGAACUCGGGUGAAGGAACUAGGCAAAAUGGUGCCGUAACUUCGGGAGAAGGCACGCUGAUAUGUAGGUGAAGUCCCUUGCGGAUGGAGCUGAAAUCAGUCGAAGAUACCAGCUGGCUGCAACUGUUUAUUAAAAACACAGCACUGUGCAAACACGAAAGUGGACGUAUACGGUGUGACGCCUGCCCGGUGCCGGAAGGUUAAUUGAUGGGGUCAGCGCAAGCGAAGCUCUUGAUCGAAGCCCCGGUAAACGGCGGCCGUAACUAUAACGGUCCUAAGGUAGCGAAAUUCCUUGUCGGGUAAGUUCCGACCUGCACGAAUGGCGUAAUGAUGGCCAGGCUGUCUCCACCCGAGACUCAGUGAAAUUGAACUCGCUGUGAAGAUGCAGUGUACCCGCGGCAAGACGGAAAGACCCCGUGAACCUUUACUAUAGCUUGACACUGAACAUUGAGCCUUGAUGUGUAGGAUAGGUGGGAGGCUUGGAAGUGUGGACGCCAGUCUGCAUGGAGCCGACCUUGAAAUACCACCCUUUAAUGUUUGAUGUUCUAACGUUGACCCGUAAUCCGGGUUGCGGACAGUGUCUGGUGGGUAGUUUGACUGGGGCGGUCUCCUCCUAAAGAGUAACGGAGGAGCACGAAGGUUGGCUAAUCCUGGUCGGACAUCAGGAGGUUAGUGCAAUGGCAUAAGCCAGCUUGACUGCGAGCGUGACGGCGCGAGCAGGUGCGAAAGCAGGUCAUAGUGAUCCGGUGGUUCUGAAUGGAAGGGCCAUCGCUCAACGGAUAAAAGGUACUCCGGGGAUAACAGGCUGAUACCGCCCAAGAGUUCAUAUCGACGGCGGUGUUUGGCACCUCGAUGUCGGCUCAUCACAUCCUGGGGCUGAAGUAGGUCCCAAGGGUAUGGCUGUUCGCCAUUUAAAGUGGUACGCGAGCUGGGUUUAGAACGUCGUGAGACAGUUCGGUCCCUAUCUGCCGUGGGCGCUGGAGAACUGAGGGGGGCUGCUCCUAGUACGAGAGGACCGGAGUGGACGCAUCACUGGUGUUCGGGUUGUCAUGCCAAUGGCACUGCCCGGUAGCUAAAUGCGGAAGAGAUAAGUGCUGAAAGCAUCUAAGCACGAAACUUGCCCCGAGAUGAGUUCUCCCUGACCCUUUAAGGGUCCUGAAGGAACGUUGAAGACGACGACGUUGAUAGGCCGGGUGUGUAAGCGCAGCGAUGCGUUGAGCUAACCGGUACUAAUGAACCGUGAGGCUUAACCUUACAACGCCGAAGCUGUU
This 2274-nucleotide ribosomal RNA is filed under the name Escherichia coli. RNAcentral describes it as "partial 23S ribosomal RNA". It matches the Rfam family "Bacterial large subunit ribosomal RNA", at positions 691 to 2925 of the family's 2925-position model. Lineage: Bacteria; Pseudomonadati; Pseudomonadota; Gammaproteobacteria; Enterobacterales; Enterobacteriaceae. The record is from RNAcentral.